CCUACGGGUGGCUGCAGUGGGGAAUAUUGCACAAUGGGCGCAAGCCUGAUGCAGCCAUGCCGCGUGUGUGAAGAAGGCCUUCGGGUUGUAAAGCACUUUCAGCGGGGAGGAAGGCGUUAAGGUUAAUAACCUUGGCGAUUGACGUUACCCGCAGAAGAAGCACCGGCUAACUCCGUGCCAGCAGCCGCGGUAAUACGGAGGGUGCAAGCGUUAAUCGGAAUUACUGGGCGUAAAGCGCACGCAGGCGGUCGGUCAAGUCGGAUGUGAAAUCCCCGGGCUCAACCUGGGAACUGCAUUCGAAACUGGCAGGCUAGAGUCUUGUAGAGGGGGGUAGAAUUCCAGGUGUAGCGGUGAAAUGCGUAAAGAUCUGGAGGAAUACCGGUGGCGAAGGCGGCCCCCUGGACAAAGACUGACGCUCAGGUGCGAAAGCGUGGGGAGCAAACAGGAUUAGAUACCCGUGUAGUC
Molecule: ribosomal RNA, 465 nt
Filed under: uncultured Klebsiella sp.
Lineage: Bacteria; Pseudomonadati; Pseudomonadota; Gammaproteobacteria; Enterobacterales; Enterobacteriaceae
Description: bacterial SSU rRNA
Rfam family: Bacterial small subunit ribosomal RNA
Source: RNAcentral